RNAcentral lists this ribosomal RNA (489 nucleotides) under uncultured bacterium. RNAcentral describes it as "partial 16S ribosomal RNA". It matches the Rfam family "Bacterial small subunit ribosomal RNA", at positions 29 to 507 of the family's 1533-position model. The record is from RNAcentral.
AUUGAACGCUGGCGGCAGGCCUAACACAUGCAAGUCGAACGGUAACAGGAAACAGCUUGCUGUUUCGCUGACGAGUGGCGGACGGGUGAGUAAUGUCUGGGAAACUGCCUGAUGGAGGGGGAUAACUACUGGAAACGGUAGCUAAUACCGCAUAACGUCGCAAGACCAAAGAGGGGGACCCUCGGGCCUCUUGCCAUCGGAUGUGCCCAGAUGGGAUUAGCUUGUUGGUGGGGUAACGGCUCACCAAGGCGACGAUCCCUAGCUGGUCUGAGAGGAUGACCCGCGACUGAGAAGCGGAGCCGCGAUCCGGACUCCUAGGGAGGGCAGGGAUGGGGAUGAUAGCACAAGGGGCGAAAGCCGGGUGAAGCCAUGCCGGGUGUAUGAAGAAGGCCUUCGGGUUGGAAAAUACUUUCAGGGGGGAGGAAGGGGUUAAAGUUAAUCCCUUUGCGCAUUGAGUUUACCGGAAAAAGAGCCCCGGCCAACCCCGGG